CAGGCCUAACACAUGCAAGUCGAGCGGUGAACCCUUCGGGGGGAUCAGCGGCGAACGGGUGAGUAACACGUGAGCAACCUGCCCCUGACUCUGGGAUAGCCUCGGGAAACCGGGAUUAAUACCGGAUAUGACACCUCCUCGCAUGGGGUGGUGUGGAAAGUUUUUCGGUCAGGGAUGGGCUCGCGGCCUAUCAGCUUGUUGGUGGGGUGAUGGCCUACCAAGGCGACGACGGGUAGCCGGCCUGAGAGGGUGACCGGCCACACUGGGACUGAGACACGGCCCAGACUCCUACGGGAGGCAGCAGUGGGGAAUAUUGCGCAAUGGGCGAAAGCCUGACGCAGCGACGCCGCGUGAGGGAUGAAGGCCUUCGGGUUGUAAACCUCUUUCAGCAGGGAAGAAGCGCAAGUGACGGUACCUGCAGAAGAAGCACCGGCUAACUACGUGCCAGCAGCCGCGGUAAU
This 461-nucleotide ribosomal RNA is filed under the name uncultured bacterium. RNAcentral describes it as "bacterial SSU rRNA". It matches the Rfam family "Bacterial small subunit ribosomal RNA", at positions 43 to 524 of the family's 1533-position model. The record is from RNAcentral.